CGAUCAGAUAUUCUUCAAACAUAUCAUCCACCGGAUCCUCUCCAAUCGAUCGAGAAUCCCCUUUUAUCAGCCCUUCCGACGUCUUCCCGCGCUCCCUUCCCCAUUUCUCUCGUCCCCAGAUCGUUGCAUUUCCCCUUUCCGAAACCAUGGACUUAGCACUCUCGUCCUCGUCCGAUGGCUCGUACGCAGCAGACCGCUCGCAAGUCCACCGGCGGCAAGCCCCCGCCGGAUGCUCACUACAAAGCGAUGGAUGAGGUUUCUUCUGAAGUGAAUAAGUUGCGUAAAAAGAUUGAGGGUAAGGAUUCUGUCGAGGAUCUUGACCUCCAAGGGACUGGGAGCCUGUUACCUGACGAUGAAGAGGAGCAUUUAGCUGGAAUAAUAGAUGAUUUUGACCUUGGUGGGUUUCCUUGUCAUGUGGAGGAAUUGGAAACGUUUGAUCUCUUUGGCAGUGGAGGGGGUGUAGUAUUGGUUUCUGAUCCUACAGAGAGCCUCACAAAUUGGGAUGUCAAAGGCAAGUAUUGUUGAUGGCUAUACUGGUAAUGGGAUUAAUCAGUACAGCCUUCAAAUGAUGUUGGAACUACUGCUGGGGAACAUCGGGAGCAUCCCUCAAGAACUUUAUUUGUGCGGAACAUUAAUCGUCAUGCGGAUUAUUCGGAAUUGCGGUCUCUGUUCGAGGGAAAUAGUUAAUAGGAUUGCUGCACUCAAUGAAAAAAAAUAUUCUCAUGGAUCUUUGGAUGUUGAAAAUAUCUAUGUGGUUAAUGGUGUUGCGAAGUUAGCAAAUUUUGGAAUAAUUGUUAUCAAGUAUUUAUUUCUAAAUAUUUUUAGGAUUAUAUUAAACUUUUAAAUUAUUGAUAUUCUUAAUAAUUUUUUAAGUAUAAAUUCAAAUGAUUGGAGAAUGUUAGGCAUAAUGUUUAAUCAAAUUAUUAUAUUAUCAAGAUUUACUUGUACACAAAAUUAUUAAGUUUUAUUUUUUUGUUUGCCAAUAAGAUGAAGUGAGGUUUAUAUUAUGUGUAAGUUAAUUUUAUUUAUGUUGUUCGAUAUUAAUAAGUAAAUUUUAUUUUUUAAAUGAACAUUGAAGAACGUUUAAACCAUCUCGUUCUUUGGAAUAUAUACGAGAAAUUGAUUUUCUUGAUCCGGUUUUACAAUAUAUCAUGUCCAUACCAUAAAAUUUUAUAAUAACUUUUAGUGGAUUUAAAAAUUGGCAUGAGCUAGUAGAAUAAAAUGUUUUCAAUCAAAUGAGAUCAUUGGAAAUAAAAAUUAUUUUAUUUGAUUAAAAACAUUUGGGUCUGUUUGGUUCUGCUAAUUUUUGAAUCCACUGAAGUUUGUGUUAAAAUUUUGUAGUACAGGAUGCAAUAUAUCAUAAAGCCGAAUUAAUAAAAUCAAUUUCUCGUCUUUGUCCAAAAGUGCAAGAUUGUUCAAAAGUUAUUCAUUUAUUUAAAAAAGUUAAAAUUGACUUAUUGAUUUUUUUUUGUCAAAGAAAUAAUAACUUGAAUAAAAAUAACUUACGCAUGAUAUGAAGCUUGUUUAGACUCAUUGAAGAAGCAAAUAACUUCAUGAUUUUGUGUAUAAGUGAAUUUUGGUUAUAUAAUAAUUUGAUUAAGCAUUAUUUCUAACAUUAUAUAAUCAUUUGAAUUUGCUAAAUAAAUAUUUUAUAUUCGUAUAGAUUAUUUUAAGAUUUGCUAAUUUUACAAUAUCAUCAAUUAUAUAGAUAUUUUUAAAAAAUAAAUUGUUCUGGAGUUUUUAGGAAGAAUAGCUUCCGCCAGAGUUGACAUGCGCCUUAGGAUGAAGGGAGGCAGCACACUAGGCUCGCGAGGAAAGACAGGUAUUUUUAUGGUAACAUAUUUGAUGCUGGCCGGGAAUGAACGGGUGGUAAAGCAACAGUAUUACAAAUAACAUAUUUCAUCGACGAUUUA
Molecule: non-coding RNA, 1913 nt
Organism: Phoenix dactylifera (date palm)
Lineage: Eukaryota; Viridiplantae; Streptophyta; Magnoliopsida; Arecales; Arecaceae
Source: RefSeq, a predicted model, not a curated record